This 472-nucleotide ribosomal RNA is filed under the name uncultured bacterium. RNAcentral describes it as "partial 16S ribosomal RNA". It matches the Rfam family "Bacterial small subunit ribosomal RNA", at positions 330 to 794 of the family's 1533-position model. The record is from RNAcentral.
UCCAGACUCCUACGGGAGGCAGCAGUGGGGAAUAUUGCGCAAUGGGCGAAAGCCUGACGCAGCGACGCCGCGUGAGGGAUGAAGGUCUUCGGAUCGUAAACCUCUGUCAGCAGGGAAGAACGGUCACUGUGCUAAUCAGCAGUGAAUUGACGGUACCUGCAAAGGAAGCACCGGCUAACUCCGUGCCAGCAGCCGCGGUAAUACGUAGGGGGCAAGCGUUAUCCGGAUUUACUGGGUGUAAAGGGAGCGUAGGCGGCUGUGUAAGCCAGAAGUGAAAGCCCGGGGCUCAACUCCGGGACUGCUUUUGGAACUACGUGGCUUGAUUGCAGGAGAGGAAAGCGGAAUUCCUAGUGUAGCGGUGAAAUGCUUAGAUAUUAGGAGGAACACCAGUGGCGAAGGCGGCUUUCUGGACUGUAACUGACACUGAGGUACGAAAGCGUGGGGAGCAAACAGGAUUAGAUACCCGCGUAAA